AAGAACCUAUCUUCCUAGAAAAGGGCAUGUAGUUGUGCACCUAGAAAGUCACUGUAAUGUGGGGGCGCACGUAUAGGCGCCGGCCACCUAGGGCAGAGAAGGACCCAACAUCUGGGUCAGCUUAGUUAAUUUGAGUAAUUAAGAGUCCAGAUUGGAGAUAGAAAGGUUUCGUCCCGUAGAAGGUUUUCCCUACUGUUUCCAAUUUGAUUAGGAGUCCUAUUCCAAUUCUGUAAGAGUCUAGCUUGAUCCCUAAGUCUGUAAGGGCUAUUUAUAGUCCCCCCUAGUCAAUCAAUAAAGCAAGCAAUCAAAAAACCCAAACCCUAUCUUCCCCUGCGCCAUGGGCGCCCCAAUUCCCUGCCACGGGGCGACGAGGUUACAAGCCUCGUCCUCCCGUAGAGCACCCUUACUUCCUGCGAUCUUCCUCUAAUUCCCAAAUUCCCCAAGCACGUGACGAUUUGGUAUCAGAGCAGUCGAUCUCCGCUGCACCUGAAGCCAUGUCGACCAGCCCCAAACAGCCCAAUCCACCCAAAACCCUAGAGGAACUCAUCGCCAAGGAGCACGAAGAUUUUGAGGGCGUUACUCAGAGCCUUGGCGAAGUCGCCGAUGGCAUCGAACUCCUUCGCAAAGACGUUACAACGACCCUUGAUGCCCUCGAAGAAACUCUGCGGAAGAUGCAACUGAACUACGACGAUCUAUCUCAGCAGCAACGGGCGCAAAAUUUGGCCAUCACCCGGCUGGAACGUGCCAGCCAUGGUGGUCCCUCCCUCGACGCGGAGGAUUCGCCGCGGGCAGCCAUGCAUCAUGGCCCCUUCCGCCGCCCGACAGCUCCACUCGGGGCAGGAGAAGACCGGCCACCUCGCCUCUACAAGCUCGAUUUCCCCACCUACGACGGCACGAGUGACCCUUGACCCUAGCCGACGAGAUGCAAUCUCUUCUUCAUCGGACAGCGAACUCUUGCCACUGACAAGACCUGGCUGGCGUCCUACCACCUCACGGAUGUCGCUGCCCUUUGGUACGGCAUCUGGAAGAGAAGAUGGGGCGGCCUUCUUGGACAGAAUUCGUCGACCUCAUCUCCCAGCACUUCGGGCCUCCUACACGUGCCAACCCCUUCGGCGAGCUGAUUUCCCUAAGGCGCACCGGCUCGGUGGCUGACUACACCCGGCAGUUCCUACAAUUGGUGUCCCGUGUCAAGCUGAUUCCAGACGAAGCGGAGCGCAACAUAUUCACCAACAACCUCGGCGAGCCUCUCAAAACCCAGGUCGAGAUGCUUUGCCCGACCACUCUCGAGGCUGCCAUGGACAUGGCUGUCUCCUUCGAGCAUCUUGCCUCCGUAACUGCAGCAGCAUGCCCCACACGCCCGAACAGGCCACCGCGUCCGCCCAAUACUGCCUAGGUUGUCGCUACCGACGUGAUCCCAGGAGCAGCACCCGUCUUCAAGAAGCUGAGCGCCGCCGAGAUGGAGGAACGGCGGGCCAAGGGGCUGUGCUUCAAUUGUGAUGAGAAAUUUGUCCGUGGGCAUCGCUGCAAGCGCUUAUUUUAUAUCGAGGUCGCCGACGAGGAGGAGGAGGAGGAGGAGAACCUCCAAAUCUCACUCCUCGCCAUCACCGGCGUCCGCACCAGCGACACCAUGCAACUGGUGGUGCGGGUUGGGGAGCGUGAGCUCCUCGCCCUCCUCGACUCGGGCAGCACCGACAACUUCAUCAGCAAGGAGUUAGCAGCACACGUUGGCGCCCCGUUCUCUACUGGUCGUCGCCUUCGGGUGACCGUCGCCAAUGGAGACCACGUCACCUGCGGCGGGCUGCUUCGACACACCGCCAUCGCCAUCGGUCAAGAGAGCUUUGUGGUGGACCUUUAUGCCAUCCCAUUGGGCGGCUUCGACGUCGUCUUGGGUACUCGCUGGCUCAAGACUCUUGGACCCAUCCUAUGGGAUUUUGAGCGGCUCUACAUGUCCUUCUGGCGGACAGAUCACCGCGUCGAGUGGUACGGCCUCUCAGCCACGGGCCACCUCCACCAUGUCCAAGUCAGCACAGCUCGUGACCUCCUCGACAACCUCCUCGCCAACUUCUCGGAUGUUUUCGCCGAGCCCAAGGGGCUGCCGCCAUCACGCACCCACGACCACCGCAUUCGUUUGGUGCCGGGAGCCGCUUCGGUAGCUGUCCGCCCAUACCGCUACCCUGCUGCCCAGAAGGACGAGCUUGAGAGGCAAUGUGCAGACAUGCUGGAACGUGGGCUGAUUCGACGCAGCACCUCGGAGUUCUCUUCCCCGGUGCUCCUCGUCCGAAAGAGCGACGGGUCUUGGCGUUUCUGCGUCGACUACCGCGCCCUCAACACCAACACGGUCAAAGACAAGUUUCCCAUCCCCGUCGUCGACGAACUACUCGAUGAGCUUAAGGGCGCCCGCUUCUUCACCAAGCUGGAUCUGCGCUCUGGCUAUCACCAAGUGCGCAUGUGCCCGGAGGACGUACACAAGACCGCGUUCCGCACCCAUGAAGGCCUCUUCGAGUUUCUCGUCAUGGCCUUUGGCCUCACGAACGCUCAGGCAACCUUCCAGGCCUUAAUGAAUGACGUUCUUCGUCCCUUUCUACAUCAAUUUGUGCUGGUCUUUUUUGAUGAUAUUUUGGUGUACAACUCAUCUUGGUCAGACCACAUCCGUCACGUCAAGGUUGUCCUGGAGCUCAUGCAGCAACACCAACUCUAUCUCAAGCGCUCCAAGUGUGCCUUUGGGGAGGAAUCAGUGGCGUACCUCGGCCAUGUUAUCUCCGCGGAUGGCGUCGCCAUGGACAGCCAGAAGGUGAUGGCCAUCAUCGACUGGGCCACGCCACGAUCUGUCCGUGCAGUCCGCGGCUUCCUGGGAUUGGCAGGCUAUUACCGCAAGUUCAUCCGCGACUUCGGCGUCAUGGUUGCGCCCCUCACUGCCUUGCUGAAGAAAGACGGGUUCCUCUGGUCAGAGGAGGCUGACCGGGCGUUCCUUCAGCUGAAGACCACGCUCACCACGGCACCCGUGUUGCAGCUUCCCGACUUCACCCUCCCUCCCGUUCACCAUGGAGUGUGACGCUUUAGGCUCAGGGUUUGGCGCCGUGCUGCACCAAGGCACGGGUCCUAUCGCCUACUUCAGUCGCCCGAUCGCUCCUCGCCAUGCGCCCCUGGCAGCCUACGAGCGCGAGCUCAUUGGCCUGGUCCAGGCAGUACGGCACUGGCGGCCGUACCUAUGGGGUCGCUCCUUCAUUGUCAAGACGGACCACUACAGCCUCAAGUUCCUCCUCGACCAGUGCCUGGCGACAAUACCCCAACAUCAUUGGGUUGGCAAACUUUUGGGGUUCGACUUCACGAGGGAGUAUAAACCUGGCCACCUUAACACGGUGGCCGACGCUCUCUCUCGACACGACUUCCCUGACGCCUGUGCCUGUGCAAUCACGGGUCCCGCCUUCGACCUCUUCGACGCUCUUCGCCAAGCAGCCCACACUGACCCUGCUCUCGUCACAUUGCGUGAGCAGUUGGAGGUUGGAUGGCCUUGUCACCUUCAAGCGCCGUGCGUACGUGCCCCCAUCAUCUCCAUUGGUGGCGGAUGUCCUACUGGCCGCUCACGACGAGGGCCAUGAAGGCAUUCAAAAAUCACUUCAUCGGCUUCGCCCCGACUUCCACCUUUCGCAAGCCCGUGCUGCUCUCCAGGACUACAUUCGGGUUUGCAUGGUGUGUCAGCGCAACAAGACCGAGCAGCUCCAUCCGGCUGGUCUACUUCAGCCUUUGGCCGUGCCGUCUCAUGUUUGGGAAGAUAUCUCCAUGGACUUCAUCGAAGGGCUGCCAAAGGUGGGUGGCAAAAGCGUCAUCCUCACUGUCGUUGAUCGCUUCUCCAAGUAUGCCCACUUUAUUCCGCUGGCGCAUUCCUACACUGCGGAGUCGGUGACCAAGGCCUUCUUCGCCGACAUUGUUCGCCUCCAUGGCGUUCCAGCCUCCAUCGUCUCUGACCGCGAUGUGGUUUUCACUUCCAGGUUUUGGAAAGCUCUCUUUGCAGCUUCUGGCUCUCGCCUGCAUAUGAGUUCAGCAUUCCACCCGCAGAUGGAUGGCCAGUCAAAGGCUGUCAAUUGAGUCAUUGCCAUGUAUUUGCGCUGCUUCACGGGCGACCGUCCUCGGCAGUGGCUUCAUUGGCUCCCUUGGGCAGAGUAUUGCUACAACACCUCCUUCCACACUGCCCUGAAGGACACGCCUUUCCAUGUGGUCUAUGGACGUGAUCCUCUGUCUUUACGGACAUAUACAUCGGGCAAAAUCCGCAAUCAAGCUGUGGAACGCAACAUCGUCGACCGUGACCAGUUUUUGAUUGACAUCCGUGAGCGUCUGGUCCAGGCUGCCCAGCACUACAAGCAUUAUUAUGAUGGCAAGCAUCGGUUGCUUUCCUUCGACGUUGGCAAAUGGGCUUGGCUGCGCUUACACCACAGACCAGCAGCCUUCCUCGGCGCAGGUGCAAAGGGCAAGUUGGCACCUAAAUUUUAUGGUCCCUACAAGGUCAUUGGCAAGAUUGAUUCAGUGGCUUAUCGCUUGGAGCUGCCACCUCGUGCUCGUAUCCAUAAUGUCUUCCAUGUUGGUGUUUUGAAGAAAUACCAUGGGCCUCCCCCGGAUGCGCCGCCUAUUCUGCCCGCCAUGUUUCAAGGACGCGUCCAGCCUACGCCGGCUAAAGCCUUGCGUGCUCGCCUUGCCCGCGGUGUACAGCAAGUCCUCAUCCAGUGGGCAGGACAGCAGGCUUCAGCAGCUUCUUGGGAGGAUGUUCCCGUCUUCAGGGAGCGCUACCCAGAUUUUCAGCUCGAGGACGAGCUGUUUCAGAAUGGAGGGGGAGAUGUCAUGUGGGGGCGCACGUAUAGGCGGCGGCCACCUAGGGCAGAGAAGGACCCAACAUCUGGGUCAGCUUAGUUAAUUUUAGUAAUUAAGAGUCCAGAUUGGAGAUAGAAAGGUUUCGUCCCGUAGAAGGUUUUCCCUACUGUUUCCAAUCUGAUUAGGAGUUCUAUUCCAAUUCUGUAAGAGUCUAGCUUGAUCCCCAAGUCUGUAAGGGCUAUUUAUAGUCCCCCCUAGUCAAUCAAUAAAGCAAGCAAUCAAAAAACCCAAACCCUAUCUUCCCCUGCGCCCUGGGCGCCCCAAUUUCCUGCCACGGGGCGACGAGGUUACAAGCCUCGUCCUCCCGUAGAGCACCCUUACUUCCUGCGAUCUUCCUCUAAUUCCCAAAUUCCCCAAGCACGUGACAGUCACCUUAAGAGUUGAGCUGGUCAUAUUGUAAACCUAUAAUCAAUUCAAACCACAUAACCAUUGGCUAUCUGCAAAUAUAUACGUGGUCUAGUCGUAUGCACUAGAUCUGAGUUAUUGGAUCAUGUGGGUUCAAGUCUCUUAACUAUGUCUAGCCCAAUUCAGGAGUUUAUU
RNAcentral lists this long non-coding RNA (5403 nucleotides) under Brachypodium distachyon (stiff brome). Its description in RNAcentral is "long non-coding RNA (BDIS_LNC001473)". Lineage: Eukaryota; Viridiplantae; Streptophyta; Magnoliopsida; Poales; Poaceae. The record is from RNAcentral.